CAAAGGAAUUGACGGGGGCCCGCACAAGCGGCGGAGCAUGCGGAUUAAUUCGAUGCAACGCGAAGAACCUUACCAAGGCUUGACAUAUAGAAGAACGGGCUAGAAAUAGUCAACUCUUUGGACACUUCUAUACAGGUGGUGCAUGGUUGUCGUCAGCUCGUGUCGUGAGAUGUUCGGUUAAGUCCGGCAACGAGCGCAACCCUCGUCCUAUGUUGCCAGCACGUAAUGGUGGGAACUCAUGGGAUACUGCCGUGGUCAACACGGAGGAAGGUGGGGAUGACGUCAAAUCAUCAUGCCCCUUAUGUCUUGGGCUUCACGCAUGCUACAAUGGCCGGUACAAAGGGCUGCGAUACCGCGAGGUGGAGCGAAUCCCAAAAAGCCGGUCUCAGUUCGGAUUGGGGUCUGCAACUCGACCCCAUGAAGUCGGAGUCGCUAGUAAUCGCAGAUCAGCAACGCUGCGGUGAAUACGUUCCCGGGCC
This 479-nucleotide ribosomal RNA is filed under the name Microbacteriaceae bacterium GF25. RNAcentral describes it as "bacterial SSU rRNA". It matches the Rfam family "Bacterial small subunit ribosomal RNA", at positions 902 to 1380 of the family's 1533-position model. Lineage: Bacteria; Bacillati; Actinomycetota; Actinomycetes; Micrococcales; Microbacteriaceae. The record is from RNAcentral.